UCUCUCAUUUUGUACAAUUCCUCCGGGAAGGAGCCUCCGCUCUCUCCCAUCUCCAUGCCGCUGCAUCACAGAUAUCUCCGCCUCUUCAAUCCCCUUCUCAGAUAGUACUGCCCACAGGAAUCAUGAACCAGAAAAUGAAUGUUUCAGAGAAAUUCUUCGUUUAUGUACACCGCCGACUGAAAUACUGAAGAGAUCCCCUUCAGCUCCUCCGAUCCUUCCAUCAUCAGAUCUCUCGCAUGGCGGCGCCGGAGCCCCCUGCAAAACCCUGCAAGAACACGCCCCAGGAAGACGAUGACGACGACGUAGACGAAGCUACGUGGCACGAAGUCUUAAGAACAUUUUCUCAAUGGUGGGCCACCGGGAGGGGU
This 368-nucleotide long non-coding RNA is filed under the name Spirodela polyrhiza (greater duckweed). Its description in RNAcentral is "long non-coding RNA (SPOL_LNC002628)". Lineage: Eukaryota; Viridiplantae; Streptophyta; Magnoliopsida; Alismatales; Araceae. The record is from RNAcentral.